Molecule: unclassified non-coding RNA, 176 nt
Filed under: soil metagenome
Description: partial internal transcribed spacer 1
Source: RNAcentral
CAAGAAGCCGAAAGGCUCUACUUAAAACCAUCGCGAACUUAUCCAAGUUGCUUCGGCGGCGCGGCUCCCCUCACGGGGGACCGCAGCCCCCGCCCCGCUCAGGAGGUAAGGGGCAGCCGCCGGAGGUACGAAACUCUGUAUUAUAGUGGUAUCUCUGAGUAUAAAACAAAUAAGUU